This 639-nucleotide ribosomal RNA is filed under the name Cortinarius sp. F16365. RNAcentral's name for it is "eukaryotic LSU rRNA". It matches the Rfam family "Eukaryotic large subunit ribosomal RNA", at positions 1 to 623 of the family's 3401-position model. Lineage: Eukaryota; Fungi; Basidiomycota; Agaricomycetes; Agaricales; Cortinariaceae. The record is from RNAcentral.
UGACCUCAAAUCAGGUAGGACUACCCGCUGAACUUAAGCAUAUCAAUAAGCGGAGGAAAAGAAACUAACAAGGAUUCCCCUAGUAACUGCGAGUGAAGCGGGAAAAGCUCAAAUUUAAAAUCUGGCAGUCUUUGGCUGUCCGAGUUGUAAUCUAGAGAAGUGCUAUCCGCGCUGGACCGUGUACAAGUCUCCUGGAAUGGAGCGUCAUAGAGGGUGAGAAUCCCGUCUUUGACACGGACUACCAGGGCUUUUGUGAUGUGCUCUCAAAGAGUCGAGUUGUUUGGGAAUGCAGCUCAAAAUGGGUGGUAAAUUCCAUCUAAAGCUAAAUAUUGGCGAGAGACCGAUAGCGAACAAGUACCGUGAGGGAAAGAUGAAAAGAACUUUGGAAAGAGAGUUAAACAGUACGUGAAAUUGCUGAAAGGGAAACGCUUGAAGUCAGUCGCGUUGUCCAGGGAUCAACCUUGCUUUUGCUUGGUGCACUUCCUGGUUGACGGGUCAGCAUCAAUUUUGACUGUUGGAAAAAGAUCAAGGGAAUGUGGCAUCUUUGGAUGUGUUAUAGCCCUUGGUUGCAUACAAUGGUUGGGAUUGAGGAACUCAGCACGCCGCAAGGCCGGGUUUUUAACCACGUACGUGCUUAGG